UGGGGCGUGGCCAAGCUGGUAAGGCGCCUGACUCUGGAUCAGGUAAUCCUAGGUUCGAAUCCUAGCGCCCCAG
Molecule: transfer RNA, 73 nt
Filed under: Chloroflexota bacterium
Lineage: Bacteria; Bacillati; Chloroflexota
Description: Chloroflexi bacterium tRNA-Gln
Rfam family: tRNA
About the family: Transfer RNA (tRNA) molecules are approximately 80 nucleotides in length. Their secondary structure includes four short double-helical elements and three loops (D, anti-codon, and T loops). Further hydrogen bonds mediate the characteristic L-shaped molecular structure. tRNAs have two regions of fundamental functional importance: the anti-codon, which is responsible for specific mRNA codon recognition, and the 3' end, to which the tRNAs corresponding amino acid is attached (by aminoacyl-tRNA synthetases). tRNAs cope with the degeneracy of the genetic code in two manners: having more than one tRNA (with a specific anti-codon) for a particular amino acid; and 'wobble' base-pairing, i.e. permitting non-standard base-pairing at the 3rd anti-codon position.
Source: RNAcentral